CGGACGGGUGGGUAAUGUCUGGGAAACUGCCCGCUGGAGGGGGAUAACUACUGGAAACGGUAGCUAAUACCGCAUAACGUCGCAAGACCAAAGAGGGGGACCUUCGGGCCUCUUGCCAUCGGAUGUGCCCAGAUGGGAUUAGCUAGUAGGUGGGGUAACGGCUCACCUAGGCGACGAUCCCUAGCUGGUCUGAGAGGAUGACCAGCCACACUGGAACUGAGACACGGUCCAG
This 232-nucleotide ribosomal RNA is filed under the name uncultured bacterium. RNAcentral's name for it is "partial 16S ribosomal RNA". It matches the Rfam family "Bacterial small subunit ribosomal RNA", at positions 99 to 334 of the family's 1533-position model. The record is from RNAcentral.